UUGAAUAUGUAGUAAUCAGGUGUCAGGGCAAUCAUCCAUGUAUGGUUGGCCCUGGUGAAAAGGGAAACAGGUGCAAAUCCUGUACGAACUCGUCACCGUAAUUAGGGAGCUGAAGCCGAUAUAUCACUGGGAAACUGGGAAGAUGGCCAAUGCAAUGAUCUUCAAGCCGGGAGACCUGCCUGACUGCUGUACAGAAA
This 197-nucleotide non-coding RNA is filed under the name Roseburia sp. CAG:303. Lineage: Bacteria; Bacillati; Bacillota; Clostridia; Lachnospirales; Lachnospiraceae. The record is from RNAcentral. RNAcentral also lists the same sequence under 1 other name.